UGGUCCCCCCCCCCCCUCUCCAUCACUGCAAAAUUGCCAUUGAUGAGCAGCGACCAAAGCUUGGUACAAGACAAAGUUUGAUUCCCAACAUGUCUAACACCCACCAGCUGAGUUAUUCUAGUAAGUCUUCCCUCUACUUGGUACUUUCGGUUGUUAUUACCCCUUCCAUUUCCCAAUUAGGGUUUUCUGUUUUGUAGAAAUAGAGGAGAUCAUGUCAAAAUUAAGAUGACCCCCUAUGAAGAACGAGUUCCCCUAUGAUGGUGAAGAAGUAUUGUCCCACUCCGGCUUGCGGGUUCAAGGCGUAUUUUGCACACGUCUAGGAACCAUUAAAGAAAUUUUUCAGGUGCCCCCGAUAUCUCUCCCACGUUUAGAAAGGAUGUGGUUAUUUUGAUUGGUAUGAUGUGAAGGUAGCUGCAACGAAAGACAAGCAAGAGCUCGUUGAAAUGGUGGAUAGGUUGUAGGUGAACAUAAAAAAACUGGAACAAGCCAACUUAGAGUUGAAGUCAAAAAUCGGAAUGGAGAAGGAAGAAGAAGCUUGCUCGUCAUCCAAUAUGUCUCUUCAGAUGGACUAUGAAAUUGUUGGUGAGUUGGAAAGGCUGAAAUGCAGGGUUGGUUUACUUGAGAGAAGGGGGUGUUGUGGACAUAGCAACAUGAACUGAGGGGUGUUAUGAUUUUAUGUAAAUCACUAUAGGGUUUGUUGCAAUGGUCCAUGUACUUGUACUAUUAUUGUGCAUUAUAUUCUACUAUUUCCACAAACGUAGUUCUAGUUAUACUACAUCAAACACAUCAUCCACAAACCCUAACUGUUUUCGUAGUCAUAUUACAUAACCCAUAAGCGAUUAUG
This 844-nucleotide long non-coding RNA is filed under the name Linum usitatissimum (flax). RNAcentral's name for it is "long non-coding RNA (LUSI_LNC004482)". The record is from RNAcentral. Lineage: Eukaryota; Viridiplantae; Streptophyta; Magnoliopsida; Malpighiales; Linaceae.